This 464-nucleotide ribosomal RNA is filed under the name uncultured Weissella sp. RNAcentral describes it as "bacterial SSU rRNA". It matches the Rfam family "Bacterial small subunit ribosomal RNA", at positions 338 to 795 of the family's 1533-position model. The record is from RNAcentral. Lineage: Bacteria; Bacillati; Bacillota; Bacilli; Lactobacillales; Lactobacillaceae.
CCUACGGGGGCUGCAGUAGGGAAUCUUCCACAAUGGACGAAAGUCUGAUGGAGCAACGCCGCGUGUGUGAUGAAGGGUUUCGGCUCGUAAAACACUGUUGUAAGAGAAGAAUGACAUUGAGAGUAACUGUUCAGUGUGUGACGGUAUCUUACCAGAAAGGAACGGCUAAAUACGUGCCAGCAGCCGCGGUAAUACGUAUUUUCCAAGCGUUAUCCGGAUUUAUUGGGCGUAAAGAGAGCGCAGACGGUUGUUUAAGUGCCAAGUGAAAGCCCACAACUUAAGUGUGGAAUCGCUUUAGAAACUGGAUAACUUGAGUCCAGUAGAGGAGAGUGGAACUCCAUGUGUAGCGGUGAAAUGCGUAGAUAUAUGGAAGAACACCAGUGUCCAAGGCGGCUCUCUGGACUGUAACUGACGUUGAGGCUCGAAAGUGUGGGUAGCAAACAGGAUUAGAUACCCCGGUAGUC